Molecule: ribosomal RNA, 433 nt
Filed under: uncultured bacterium
Lineage: Bacteria
Description: partial 16S ribosomal RNA
Rfam family: Bacterial small subunit ribosomal RNA
Source: RNAcentral
AACGAACGCUGGCGGCAUGCCUAACACAUGCCAGUCGAACGAAACCUUCGGGUCUAUGGGCGCACGGGUGCGGAACGCGUGGGAAUCUGCCCGUGGGUUCGGUAUAACAGUUUGAAACGACUGCUAAUGCCGGAUGGGGACUUCGGUCCAAAGAGUUAUGGCCCAGGGAUGAGCGCGCGUCGGAUUAGCUGGUUGGGGAGGUAAGAGCGAACCAAGGCCACGAUCCGUAGCUGGUCGGAGAGGAUGACAAUCCACAAUGGGAAUGCGACACGGACCAGACUCCUACGGGAGGGAGCAGUGGGUAAUAUUGGACAAUGGGCGCAAGCCUGACAAAGCAAUGCCGCGUGAGUGAUGAAGGCCUUAGGGUUGUACAGCCGUUUUACCCGGGAUGAUAAUGACAGUACCGGGAGAAUAAGCACCGGCUAACUACGUG